GUCGCACCUACCGAUUGAAUGGUCCGGUGAGGACUCGGGAUUGUGGUUUGGCUCCUUCAUUGGGGAUUGGUCGCGAGAACUUGUCUAAACCUUAUCAUUUAGAGGAAGGUG
Molecule: ribosomal RNA, 111 nt
Filed under: uncultured eukaryote
Lineage: Eukaryota
Description: partial small subunit ribosomal RNA
Rfam family: Eukaryotic small subunit ribosomal RNA
Source: RNAcentral